Molecule: ribosomal RNA, 904 nt
Filed under: Microbacterium marinum
Lineage: Bacteria; Bacillati; Actinomycetota; Actinomycetes; Micrococcales; Microbacteriaceae
Description: bacterial SSU rRNA
Rfam family: Bacterial small subunit ribosomal RNA
Source: RNAcentral
UGCAGUCGAACGGUGAACACGGAGCUUGCUCUGUGGGAUCAGUGGCGAACGGGUGAGUAACACGUGAGCAACCUGCCCCUGACUCUGGGAUAAGCGCUGGAAACGGCGUCUAAUACUGGAUAUGUGACGUGACCGCAUGGUCUGCGUCUGGAAAGAAUUUCGGUUGGGGAUGGGCUCGCGGCCUAUCAGCUUGUUGGUGAGGUAAUGGCUCACCAAGGCGUCGACGGGUAGCCGGCCUGAGAGGGUGACCGGCCACACUGGGACUGAGACACGGCCCAGACUCCUACGGGAGGCAGCAGUGGGGAAUAUUGCACAAUGGGCGCAAGCCUGAUGCAGCAACGCCGCGUGAGGGACGACGGCCUUCGGGUUGUAAACCUCUUUUAGCAGGGAAGAAGCGAAAGUGACGGUACCUGCAGAAAAAGCGCCGGCUAACUACGUGCCAGCAGCCGCGGUAAUACGUAGGGCGCAAGCGUUAUCCGGAAUUAUUGGGCGUAAAGAGCUCGUAGGCGGUUUGUCGCGUCUGCUGUGAAAUCCGGAGGCUCAACCUCCGGCCUGCAGUGGGUACGGGCAGACUAGAGUGCGGUAGGGGAGAUUGGAAUUCCUGGUGUAGCGGUGGAAUGCGCAGAUAUCAGGAGGAACACCGAUGGCGAAGGCAGAUCUCUGGGCCGUAACUGACGCUGAGGAGCGAAAGGGUGGGGAGCAAACAGGCUUAGAUACCCUGGUAGUCCACCCCGUAAACGUUGGGAACUAGUUGUGGGGUCCAUUCCACGGAUUCCGUGACGCAGCUAACGCAUUAAGUUCCCCGCCUGGGGAGUACGGCCGCAAGGCUAAAACUCAAAGGAAUUGACGGGGACCCGCACAAGCGGCGGAGCAUGCGGAUUAAUUCGAUGCAACGCGAAGAACC